UGGGGAAUAUUGGGCAAUGGGCGCAAGCCUGACCCAGCAACGCCGCGUGAAGGAAGAAGGCCUUCGGGUUGUAAACUUUGUUGUAGAGGACGAAGAAAGUGACUGUACUCUACGAGGAAGCCCCGGCUAACUAUGUGCCAGCAGCCGCGGUAAUACAUAGGGGGCAAGCGUUGUCCGGAAUCACUGGGCGUAAAGGGAGCGUAGGCGGAUGUUUAAGUUAAGUGUGAAAGCCUGGGGCUUAACUCCAGAAAUGCACUUAAUACUGGAUAUCUAGAGUGUGGGAGAGGUAAGUGGAAUUCCUAGUGUAGCGGUAAAAUGCGUAGAGAUUAGGAGGAACACCAGAGGCGAAGGCGGCUUACUGGACCACAACUGACGCUGAGGCUCGAAAGCGUGGGGAGCAAACAGGAUUAGAUACCCUGGUAGU
RNAcentral lists this ribosomal RNA (424 nucleotides) under uncultured Peptococcus sp. RNAcentral describes it as "bacterial SSU rRNA". It matches the Rfam family "Bacterial small subunit ribosomal RNA", at positions 355 to 794 of the family's 1533-position model. Lineage: Bacteria; Bacillati; Bacillota; Clostridia; Eubacteriales; Peptococcaceae. The record is from RNAcentral.